RNAcentral lists this ribosomal RNA (1791 nucleotides) under Triticum aestivum (bread wheat). Its description in RNAcentral is "partial small subunit ribosomal RNA". Lineage: Eukaryota; Viridiplantae; Streptophyta; Magnoliopsida; Poales; Poaceae. The record is from RNAcentral.
AUGCAUGUUGAUACUAUAAUGGAAUCUCGUGAUGCAACAUUUUUUGAGAACAUAUUUCCUAUGAAAGAUAUGCAUAGCAUUGCUAGAUUUUCUUCUGAGAUAAUUCCUGAAUCUAGUACAACUGAUGAAUAUUUCGAACAAUCACAUGAGGAAGUCCUUGAGAAGGAUAACAAUGAAGUUCCUAGAAGGAACAAGAGACAAAGGAUUGCAAAAUCCUUUGGUGAUGAUUUCAUUGUAUACCUUGUGGACGACACACCCAAGACGAUUGCAGAAGCAUAUGCAUCUCCGGAUGUAGAUGAUUGGAAAGAAGCUGUUCAUAAUGAGAUGGACUCAAUUAUUUCUAAUGGAACUUGGGAACUAACUGAUAGACCAUAUGGUUGUAAACCUGUGGGCUGUAAGUGGGUGUUCAAAAAGAAGCUAAAGCCUGAUGGUACUAUUGAUAAGUACAAGGCGCGGCUAGUGGCCAAGGGCUACACUCAGAAAGAAGGCGAAGAUUACUUUGACACCUAUUCACCCGUUGCUAGAAUGACCACCAUUCGAGUGUUACUUUCCUUGGCUGCCUCUUAUGGUCUUAUCAUUCAUCAAAUGGACGUAAAGACAACUUUUCUCAAUGGAGAGUUGGAAGAGGAGAUCUAUAUGGAUCAGCCUGACGGGUUUGUGGUAAAGGGUGAAGAGAGAAAGGUGUGCAAGUUGUUAAAAUCUUUGUAUGGUCUGAAACAGGCACCUAAGCAAUGGCAUGAGAAGUUUGAAAGAACUCUGACUUCUGCAGGAUUUGUCAUUAACGAGGCCGAUAGGUGUGUUUACUAUCGCCAUGGUGGGGGCAAUAGUGUCAUAUUAUGUUUGUAUGUGGACGACAUACUGAUCUUUGGUACAAACAUUAAUGCAAUUAAUGAGGUCAAGUCUUUUCUAUCAAAAAGUUUUGACAUGAAAGAUCUGGGAGAAGCCGAUGUAAUUCUAAACAUCAAACUUAUUAAGGAUGAGAGUGGGAUUACAUUAACGCAAUCUCACUAUGUUGAGAAGGUCUUGAACCGAUUCGGUUUUAUGGAUAGCAAGCCUUCUCCAACACCUUAUGAUCCCAGCGUGACACUCAGAAAGAACAAGAAAGAAACGAGAGAUCAAUUAAGAUACUCUCAAAUUGUCGGUUCACUCAUGUACUUAGCUAGCGCUACAAGACCAGAUAUCUCUUUUGCUGUGAGCAAACUGAGUAGGUUCAUGUCCAACCCGGGUGAUGAUCAUUGGCAUGCACUAGAAAGGGUCUUGCGCUAUCUGAGAGGUACUAUGAGUUACGGAAUUACUUAUUCAGGGCAUCCUGCUGUGCUAGAAGGAUAUAGUGAUUCAAAUUGGAUCUCCGAUGUUGAUGUACUCUACGCAACAAGUGGGUAUGUAUUUACUCAUGGUGGUGGCGCAGUGUCAUGGAGGUCUUGCAAGCAAACCAUAUUGACGAGGUCAACUAUGGAAGCAGAAUUAACUGCUUUGGACACAGCUACUGUUGAGGCAGAAUGGCUGCGUGAGCUCUUGAUGGACUUGCCGGUUGUUGAAAAACCUGUACCGGCUAUUCUUAUGAAUUGUGAUAACCAAACGGUUAUCGCUAAAGUGAACAAUUCUAAAGAUAAUGCAAAGUCAUCAAGACACGUGAAAAGACGUUUGAAGUCUGUCAGGAAGUUGAGAAACUCCGGAGUAAUAACUGUUACGUAUAUACAAACAGACAAAAACCUGGCAGAUCCCUUUACAAAGGGACUAUCACGAAAUGUGAUAGAUAUUGCAUCGAGGGAGAUGGGUACGAGACCCAUA